RNAcentral lists this ribosomal RNA (253 nucleotides) under uncultured bacterium. RNAcentral describes it as "partial 16S ribosomal RNA". It matches the Rfam family "Bacterial small subunit ribosomal RNA", at positions 103 to 354 of the family's 1533-position model. The record is from RNAcentral.
CGGGUGAGUAACACGUAUGCAACCUGCCUGCCACAGCCGGAUAAUCGGGAGAAAUUCCGUCUAAUACGGCAUAAUGCAUCGACGGGACAUCCUGUUGGUGCCAAAGGUUGAUUCCGGUGGCGGAUAGGCAUGCGUCGCAUUAGUUAGUUGGCGGUGUAACGGACCACCAAGACGACGAUGCGUAGGGGUUCUGAGAGGAAGGUCCCCCACACUGGUACUGAGACACGGACCAGACUCCUACGGAAGGCAGCAG